Molecule: non-coding RNA, 300 nt
Organism: Pelobates cultripes (western spadefoot toad)
Lineage: Eukaryota; Metazoa; Chordata; Amphibia; Anura; Pelobatidae
Source: the annotation of a GenBank genome assembly
CUGUAUAUGUGUAUGUGUCACACCGCACACACACAUACAGACACAGACAUAAACACAGACAGACAUGCAUACAGAGACGCAGACACACACAUACAGACUGUAUGUGUGUGUGUCUCUGUAUGUGUGUGUAUGUGUCUGUGUAUAUAUAUGUCGGGGGUGCGUGUGUGUAUGUAUGUGUCUGUCGGGGGUGCGUGUGAGUAUGUAUGUGUCUGUCGGGGGGUGUAUGUGUGUGUGUCUGUAUGUAUCUGUCUGUGUGUAUGUAUGUGUGUGUCUGUAUGUAUGUGUGUGCAUCUAUGUAUG